GUGCUUGCUUCAGCAACACAUGUACUAAAACUGAAACAAUGCAGAGGUUAGCAUGGCCCUUGGGCAAGGAUGACAUGCAAAUUCUCGAAGCCUUCCAUGCUCUU
Molecule: small nuclear RNA, 104 nt
Filed under: Phascolarctos cinereus (koala)
Lineage: Eukaryota; Metazoa; Chordata; Mammalia; Diprotodontia; Phascolarctidae
Source: RNAcentral